Non-coding RNA from Acanthosepion pharaonis, 108 nucleotides. The record is from the annotation of a GenBank genome assembly. NCBI's taxonomy places the organism in Eukaryota, Metazoa, Mollusca, Cephalopoda, Sepiida, Sepiidae.
CCACACCAAGUUGAAACAUUGGUUCCCAUAAGAUCACUGAAAUUAAGCAACGUCAAGCCUGGUCAGUACUUAGAUGUGUGACCACUUAGGAAUACCAGGUGCUGUAAG